GUGGGCGGAGCCGGAGGGCUCGACAGCGACGGAGAUGGAGCCGGAGACGUCGGCUUCGACGGAGCAGGAACUGGAACCGCAGCUGGAGGGGAAGCAAGCGGAGCCGGCGUAGGUGCAACCGGUGGGGGCGGGGAAAGCACAGGAGGCGGCGGAGAAGCUGGAGGAGGAACGGCCGGCGGAGGGGUUGCAGGCGGCGGCGUGCUCACCGGGGGAGGCGCGGUGACGGGCGGCGGUGUUGAAACCGGAGGCGGCGUUGCUGCAGGAGGCGGAGAAGUAACCACCGGGGGUGGCGCGGAGACAGGCGGCGGCGUUGCUGCUGGCGGCGUCGGUGUGGUCACGGGAGGCGGAGACGCGGUGGGAGGAGUGGGAGUGGGCGGAGCAGGAGUGGUAGGAGUAGGCGGAGCAGGAGUGGCGGUCGGAGAAGUAGCCGGAGAUUGGCCGCUGACGACGGCGACGGCAAUGCAGAUCACGGCAGUGAAGACUAGCAGGUUGGGAGCCAUUUUUCGAAGUAAAUGCGCUUGCUGCUAAGCUCGGCUUAACGUGCG
RNAcentral lists this long non-coding RNA (545 nucleotides) under Salvia miltiorrhiza (redroot sage). RNAcentral describes it as "long non-coding RNA (SMIL_LNC008990)". Lineage: Eukaryota; Viridiplantae; Streptophyta; Magnoliopsida; Lamiales; Lamiaceae. The record is from RNAcentral.